CAUCUAAGUACCUGGAGGAAAAGAGAGUAUUCCGUGAGUAGUGGCGAGCGAAAGCGGAGGAGCCCAAACCAAGCUGGCUUAGGUCAGUUUGGGGUUGUAGGACCAACAGAAGACAAGUUGUAGCGAGCAGAACAGCACUGGAAAGGCUGACCGGAGCGGGUGAGAGUCCCGUAAGCGGAGCGACGACUUGUUGGUUGGAAUCCUGAGUACUGCGGGGCACGCUAACCCUGCAGGAAGCUGGGAGGCCCACCUUCCAAGGCUAAAUACACUUGACGACCGAUAGUGAACUAGUACCGUGAGGGAAAGGUGAAAAGCACCCCGAUGAGGGGAGUGAAAUAGAACCUGAAACCGUACGCUUACAAGCAGUUAGAGCCCCAUGCCGCAAGGCGGGGUGAUAGCGUGCCUCUUGGAGAAUGAGCCAACGAGUUACUUUUUGUGGUCAAGGUUAAGGCAAUGAAU
Molecule: ribosomal RNA, 459 nt
Filed under: uncultured bacterium
Lineage: Bacteria
Description: bacterial LSU rRNA
Rfam family: Bacterial large subunit ribosomal RNA
Source: RNAcentral